Molecule: ribosomal RNA, 80 nt
Filed under: Staphylococcus aureus
Lineage: Bacteria; Bacillati; Bacillota; Bacilli; Caryophanales; Staphylococcaceae
Description: partial 16S ribosomal RNA
Rfam family: Bacterial small subunit ribosomal RNA
Source: RNAcentral
AUUUUUAUGGAGAGUUUGAUCCUGGCUCAGGAUGAACGCUGGCGGCGUGCCUAAUACAUGCAAGUCGAGCGAACGGACGA